ACUUAAUUAGUUUAAUAUAAAACGUUAAAUUGUGGAUUUAGAGAUAUACAAUUAUAUUAAGUC
Molecule: transfer RNA, 63 nt
Filed under: Okanagana bella
Lineage: Eukaryota; Metazoa; Arthropoda; Insecta; Hemiptera; Cicadidae
Description: tRNA-His
Source: RNAcentral